Molecule: small nuclear RNA, 140 nt
Organism: Nerophis ophidion (straightnose pipefish)
Lineage: Eukaryota; Metazoa; Chordata; Actinopteri; Syngnathiformes; Syngnathidae
Product: U4 spliceosomal RNA
Exons: 1
Source: RefSeq, a predicted model, not a curated record
AUCUUUGUGCAGUGGCAGUAUUAUAGCCCGUGAGGCUUAUCCGAUGCGUGAUUAAUGCUAAUUGAGAACUUUACCGAAUAUCUGCUUUGAUGACUUGAAAAAUAGUUAGCUGUGGCAAUUUUUGGUAGUCUCCGUUGAGA